This 732-nucleotide ribosomal RNA is filed under the name uncultured Leptotrichia sp. Its description in RNAcentral is "bacterial SSU rRNA". It matches the Rfam family "Bacterial small subunit ribosomal RNA", at positions 28 to 776 of the family's 1533-position model. Lineage: Bacteria; Fusobacteriati; Fusobacteriota; Fusobacteriia; Fusobacteriales; Leptotrichiaceae. The record is from RNAcentral.
GAUGAACGCUGACAGAAUGCUUAACACAUGCAAGUCGAUGGGGAAGUGGUGCUUGCACCAUGGUAACCAUGGCGGACGGGUGAGUAACGCGUAAGGAACUUGCCUGCGGGACCGGGAUAACAGCAGGAAACUGCUGACAAGACCGGAUAAGGUCAUUAAGCCGCAUAGCUUAGUGAUGAAAGGAGACGCCUGCGGAGAGCCUUGCGUCCUAUUAGCUAGUUGGAGGGGUAACGGCCCACCAAGGCGAAGAUAGGUAGCCGGCCUGAGAGGGUGGACGGCCACAAGGGGACUGAGAUACGGCCCUUACUCCUACGGGAGGCAGCAGUGGGGAAUAUUGGACAAUGGGGGCAACCCUGAUCCAGCAAUUCUGUGUGCACGAAGACGGUUUUCGGAUUGUAAAGUGCUUUCAGCAGGGAAGAAGGAAGUGACGGUACCUGCAGAAGAAGCGACGGCUAAAUACGUGCCAGCAGCCGCGGUAAUACGUAUGUCGCGAGCGUUAUCCGGAAUUAUUGGGCAUAAAGGGCAUCUAGGCGGCCUUUCAAGUCAGGGGUGAAAACCCGCGGCUCAACCGCAGGCCUGCCUUUGAAACUGAUAGGCUGGAGUACCGGAGAGGUGGACGGAACUGCACGAGUAGAGGUGAAAUUCGUAGAUAUGUGCAGGAAUGCCGAUGAUGAAGAUAGUUCACUGGACGGUAACUGACGCUGAAGUGCGAAAGCCGGGGGAGCAAACAGG